Molecule: unclassified non-coding RNA, 581 nt
Filed under: Chaetomium globosum
Lineage: Eukaryota; Fungi; Ascomycota; Sordariomycetes; Sordariales; Chaetomiaceae
Description: sequence contains 18S rRNA gene, ITS1, 5.8S rRNA gene, ITS2, 28S rRNA gene
Rfam family: 5.8S ribosomal RNA (bases 219-372)
Source: RNAcentral
UCGUAACAAGGUCUCCGUUGGUGAACCAGCGGAGGGAUCAUUACAGAGUUGCAAAACUCCCUAAACCAUUGUGAACGUUACCUAUACCGUUGCUUCGGCGGGCGGCCCCGGGGUUUACCCCCCGGGCGCCCCUGGGCCCCACCGCGGGCGCCCGCCGGAGGUCACCAAACUCUUGAUAAUUUAUGGCCUCUCUGAGUCUUCUGUACUGAAUAAGUCAAAACUUUCAACAACGGAUCUCUUGGUUCUGGCAUCGAUGAAGAACGCAGCGAAAUGCGAUAAGUAAUGUGAAUUGCAGAAUUCAGUGAAUCAUCGAAUCUUUGAACGCACAUUGCGCCCGCCAGCAUUCUGGCGGGCAUGCCUGUUCGAGCGUCAUUUCAACCAUCAAGCCCCCGGGCUUGUGUUGGGGACCUGCGGCUGCCGCAGGCCCUGAAAAGCAGUGGCGGGCUCGCUGUCGCACCGAGCGUAGUAGCAUACAUCUCGCUCUGGUCGCGCCGCGGGUUCCGGCCGUUAAACCACCUUUUUAACCCAAGGUUGACCUCGGAUCAGGUAGGAAGACCCGCUGAACUUAAGCAUAUCAAUAA